GUCGUACCUGAUGGUAGGAGGCAGUAGUUCCCCGCUUCCCUUCCGCGGGAGGGAGAGUUAGGUAAGCCCCGCUGGACGCCCUCGGCGUCUCGCCUCACGAGGUGCAAGCUACCCCCGCGAAUUGCCGAAGCAGCCCUGAGCCUUGGCGCCCCGACCCGCCGGCGCUCGCCGUCAGCUCAGCGCCACUCUUCCGGCGUGCCCUGAUGGACAGACCCCCUUUCGGAUCCGAGUUUUCGCCUCUGUCCCCCAGUUUUCCCUUGUCUUCAACUCCCAUGCUCUUUGAUCCUGCCUCUCAGCUGGUUCCUCGCUGCCCACGCUUGCGCCGGCGUAGGCUCGGGCAGAAUCCCGAGGGACCCGGGUUGGGGUGGGGCUGCCGGUGAAGGUGCGGCGAUGCCCGCGAAGGCUCCUCUGGGUGCCGCUCGGAAGAGCCUUCUCUCCGCUGCGGUGCGUAGCGAGGUGGGCCGGGUCAUGCCCGUGGCACUUCUGCAGGCGUCCUGGGGGCACGCCAGGGCCUAACCGGUGCUGGUUCCCUCUUUGCUUACUCUGGUUCCUUCAUUCAUUCAGCAAACAUUUGAGUUUGGGUCCUGCUCACUGUAUUACAUCCACAUCUGCUGCUGGCAGCUGCGAUUCCGAGGGUGGCUCAGAAAAAUCGCUGAAGGGCUAUCUGUUGAGAGAAUGGAUUCCUGAUCCCCUUGCCCUCCCUCAAUCAGCUUAAGAUAGAAUCUAUGGGAAACUUUCCCUUUGUCCCUUCUUGCCAUCCGUUUGCUUUUCAUGCCUAGUGUAUUUCCUUAUACCAGAGAGAUGGCUGUAGCGCAUGGGACCUUGGACCACCUCACCUGUUUGCCGUGUUUCCUUAUCAGUAAAAUAUCUGCCUUUGAAAAGCAUUGGGUGAAUUAAAUGAGAGCUAUUAGGAUAAGGCCCAGGUUCGCCUUUCUGCUUUUCUCACUAGUGGGCGCCCCUCCGCCCACGCGCGCGCGCGCGUGUGCGUGUGUGUGUAUAGUAUUUUUUUUUCUGAGAUAUUUCUAUUUUCUGGAAUAUUCUCCAUAAUGUAACAUAUUGACUGUUACUUUAAAUUAAUAAAGUCCUUGUUUAGCAGUACAAUUAGUCAGCUCUCAGGUAAUUUAAAUACGUGUAUUUUAGAGACGGUAAUUUUUUUUUCCUCCUUCCGUUCGUGCUCUACUUUUGGUUGGAAUUUAACACCUGUAACAGACGUUGUCAUCUUGGUAUUUCUGAAGCAUUGGGAUCCCUUGGUUUAGUGUGGUGCUCUUUGAACUCUUGAUUCCACUGGCCACCAUUUGAGUAUUGGAAUGUGCACUUGGUGUCAUUUGGCAUUUGCUAGAAGAUGUGAACUACUGUAAUGUUAGACAAGAGUAAAAAAAAAUACCAACAAUUCAGCCUAAGUAUAUUUGUGGAGUUGUUGGAAUUAUAACCUAUGCAUUCUAGAAACCGCAUAAAUAAACUUUGGUUAUAAUUGCAACAGGCAGUAGAUAAUUUAAUCCACACAGUUGAUUUCAUCUCUUUGAUAUUGGCCAAAAAAGUUUAAAUGAAUUGCUUUAUUGGUCCUAGGACAUGACCCUUUUGCAGAAACCAGUCACAAUAUUUAAGAAAUUAGUAAAUUUGUUCUUUUUAGGCUCUGAGAGAUGUUUGUACCAUAUUAAGAAAAUCAAAGGUAGAAUAGAAAGCUAAGUCUGUAUGUGCAUCUACACGUCUGCAUCUUUUGUGUUUUGAAACAAAUACAUUGCUCAUAGAAAAUUGACUUUAUGACCUAUUUUUAGGGGUCAAAACAUUUAAGACAAUGGAAAAAGUCGUUAUUGCAUAUGCUCUUCUUUUCUUGUUUUUUGUUAGCUAGCCAUCCAAGAAAACACCAUGAAAGAUAACGAUAUCAAGAGACUACUGUAUACCCAUCUUUUAUGCAUAUUUUCAAUUAUCCUAAGUGUCUUCAUUCCAUCACUCUUCUUGGAGAACUUCUCAAUAUUGGAAACACACUUGACAUGGUUGUGCAUCUGUUCUGGUUUUGUAACUGCUGUCAAUCUAGUACUAUAUUUAGUAGUGAAACCAAAUACAUCCUCUAAAAGAAGUUCAUUAUCACACAAGGUAAGGCUUAUGUCUCAAUAACUGAUUUUUGGAUGGAGCUAGUGUUUCUUUUAAUGGAAGAAUAAAGUAUUCAUCAAGUCUUUAUUAGCUUAUUUAUAGUGAGCAAAGGGAACCUGAUAUUUUUCCCCCCAAAUUGGUAGGCUGUUACUUGGUGGAAGGCUGCCCACAAUGUUUGAUUGAUCCUUGCCUUGCAUUAAUUAUGGAAUUAUGACUUCUUCAGAGCAUAUUAUAAUAUUGUGAGCCUAUAUAGUCAUUGUUUUAUGUCACCAUUGAAAAUAAAUACGUGUGACAGUCUAUCUUUAAACCUUACUCAAUAAGACAUUGCAGUUUAUUUUUAUUAUUUUUGCAUUUCUGAAAGCCACUUAGUGGGAUUUUCAGAAAUUGCAAUAUAAGCCUGUGGUAAUGCUUGUUUCCAACAUGGCCUUCCUUGACUAAACAAUUUUCAGAUAUUAGAAUCAAUUUUCCAGAAUAUUCACUGCAGUAGAUAUUCACUUGGCUAUUACUAAUAAUGUCCACACUUAACAUUAUUUUCUACCAUGUAUAAGCUCUGUUAGGUCAUUUACUGCCUAUGAUUGGAAAAGCUGAAUGUAUGUGUUAUGUUUAUAUAUUCUUAAGCUCCAAAUCAAGAAGAUCUCAUGUUUCUUUGUAGAUGUUCAGGUCUUUUUUCAUACGGGUUGUGUAAUAUGAGUGUGAUUUCAAGAAUUAUUUAGUAUUUUGCUUUUUCAGUGCAGUUUUCCCAGGAAUUUUGUUUUAAAAUGAAAAAAAUUGUUAUUUUCUGCAGAUAUUUCCUCUAUCAUCGCAUAAUACUGUAUUUUUUGUAUCCUAGCUCUCUGAUGUCAAUCAGUAUUUGAUAAAUAUUGAUUAAUGACAUAGCUCUAUAUUACCAUGGAAACAGAACCUCUUUUCGACUCAUGUAGGUCGGAUGGGUAGAAUAUGGGCGGAAGGUGGUAUUUGCCUUUUAGGCUUUUUUAGUCUGUAUCGAAGGCUGUGUAUGUGACGGUACAGGACAUGUGAUCUGAUUUGAGUAUACCCAAGAACAUUUGAACUGUUUUACACAUUAUGGGAACAAGUUGUGUUUGUAGAUGAAAUGGAAGAAUUUAUUGUCCUUUAAGCAUUAUCUUGAAUCUUCAGGUUAUUCAUUUCUCUUUUAGGUAACUGGAUUUUUGAAAUGCUGUAUCUACUUUCUUAUGUCUUGUUUCUCCUUUCAUGUAAUUUUUGUUCUGUAUGGAGCACCACUGAUAGAGUUGGCAUUGGAAACAUUUUUAUUUGCAGUUAUUUUGUCUACUUUUACUACUGUGCCUUGCUUAUGUUUGUUAGGACCAAACCUCAAAGCAUGGCUAAGAGUGUUCAGUAGAAAUGG
This 3454-nucleotide long non-coding RNA is filed under the name Homo sapiens (human). RNAcentral describes it as "non-protein coding lnc-ATP6V1E2-8:2". The record is from RNAcentral. Lineage: Eukaryota; Metazoa; Chordata; Mammalia; Primates; Hominidae.